RNAcentral lists this ribosomal RNA (329 nucleotides) under uncultured eukaryote. RNAcentral's name for it is "partial 18S ribosomal RNA". It matches the Rfam family "Eukaryotic small subunit ribosomal RNA", at positions 1470 to 1796 of the family's 1831-position model. The record is from RNAcentral.
CCCUUAGAUGUUCUGGGCCGCACGCGCGCUACACUGAAGGAAGCAGCGUGUUAGAGCACCUGGCUUGAAAGAGCUGGGUAAUCCGGUGAAUGUCCUUCGUGAUUGGGAUAGGGACUUGUAAUUAUUUCCCUUGAACGAGGAAUACCUAGUAAGUGCGAGUCAUCAGCUUGCGCUGACUACGUCCCUGCCCCUUGUACACACCGCCCGUCGCUCCUACCGAUUGGGUGUGCUGGUGAAAUGUUCGGAUCGGCCGUUUGUCGCGGUUUCCGCGUCAUGUGGCUGAGAAGUUCAUUAAACCCUCCCACCUAGAGGAAGGAGAAGUCGUAACA